CUGAUGCUUUCUUCUUGGGUGCCGGCUAUGUCGAUUCUGAAACCAAGGUGGCUUGAAUUCACGUUGCCAAUCUUCCCGGAUGAAGCGGAGAGUAUGCGGCGGAGAGUGGGGUACGGGAUGGUGCAGAUACCAUCACAGGGCCGCCUGCGAAUGGGUCGCGCGGAGCAGGGAUGGCGGUGGCGGAGCCUCGGUUGGGAGAUUCCGCGGGCAGCUUGGUGAAGGCUCCAACAGAGUACGGGGGGCCGUAGGGGCGGAGAUCUACGGCGGGCCGGCGUACAGCGAGAGAGAGGCAGCUAGUGGAUAUGUCAUGGAGGCAGAUGCAGGGGAUGGAGCCGUGGCUGGAGACCAGCUUGCUGUGGUUGAGGAGCGUGCCGGUAGUGAGGCUGCAGCAUCCGCACAGUCGACGGGGAAAAUCCAUCCGCAAGCUCCAUGGUGGACAAAAAGGUGGUAAUAAUUGAUCCACACUUUUUGCUUCCAAUUGUAGUUUGCCCCCCAAGGAGCAUUUUUGAGGAUGUAGAAUUGGUCUCUUCGCCAAGUUAACGAAACAGUUCUAAAAUCUACUCCCUCCGAUGGAUUGGAGGGAGUAUAUAAUUAGUCAACGAUUACAAUUUGACAACAAUGUGUAUGACGCACUUAGGUUCCAGCACACCUGCAAAAGCGGUUUGCGAGGAGCAUUAUUUUGAUCGCUAUAUAUAUUGUCAGCGGUGGAAUUGGUGUGGAAAUUAUUUGGGCCAAGGUGGAUAGGGUAAUGGUGAAGCAUCUUUCGCGUAGGAUUGAGGCAUUCACGUUUUUACUGAAUUUACAGGAGAUCUGAUAUCGGUGAAGGCUGGAGUACAGACGCAGAGAUCAGUGAAGAGGUGCAUGAAGGUAGUGAUGGAGGGGUUAGUCAAGGGAUCAGAGGGGACGAGUGUGCUUCGUGCUGGUGAUGUGCAUGAGAACCACCAGGGGAUGUAUAUGGCGACGAAAAUGAUCGGGUAGACAGGGCUGAGGACGACAAACGAGGCAAUGCUGUUGGCUAGCAGGAGAUAAAAGUUUUUUUUGUGUGUUGUUUGAUAAGGUUAAUUGUUUGGGAGUGUACUGAAGAAGUCGGAGUAACACGCCUGCUUGCUGAUCGUAGGCAGAGAGACAUGAGCAGGUGCCCUGUGUUGAGCUGCCGGAAGUGGUGGGGGAGCAUGAUCCCGAACGCAGACGAGCCGCCUGCUGGUAUGCUGGAGGAGUACGAAGAAUCUGGCGUCACAUGGCACUGUGACGAUGGAUCCGAGGAUGAAGACCAAGUGUCAUCUUGCAAGCUGAAGCGUCGUCGCCUGUAAGACUUCGACGGGAGGUGUACUGUUACACAGUCCGUACACUUUUUUGUUGUUGUUGAGAAUACGCAGUCCGUAGCUAGAUAUCGGUGAUUAGAGCACCGGUAAUAAGUAGUUAUGGACUUAUGGGUGGCCACAAGCCCACAACGGUCUUUUGUAUGCUGGAAUGGGCAAAUGUCGGAAUGAUGUGUCGCUUUGGU
Long non-coding RNA from Triticum aestivum (bread wheat), 1504 nucleotides. RefSeq lists it as uncharacterized. The transcript is spliced from 3 exons. The record is from RefSeq and is a predicted model, not a curated record. Lineage: Eukaryota; Viridiplantae; Streptophyta; Magnoliopsida; Poales; Poaceae.